UUAUCCCUUUGGCCCGGCCUCUGCUGUGAUGUUCCGAUCUGGUCAGCGCUGCUUACUUUGGCACUGGAGGGAGUCUGUUUCUGCUAAGCGACUCGCGGUUGUUAUGGAGCUCAGCGCGCCUGCAUGGAAAAGGGACGUCUGCAAAACAAAAACAAGCCGGGGAAAGAUCAACACAUGAUAGGAUAAAAGGGAAACGUAAAUGCAACUCAUCUGGGCUCGAGGAGAAGCGGCUCAAGGCUACGCCAUUUCAGACAGUGUCAGGCAGACUGUUGCUGCAGCCAGCUCUCAAACAGCAAAGAGGGAACAAUAGAGAGCAGCAAUGGAGGCCGAUGAAAAUGUAACGGCGGUCAUCUUUUACUUUUACUGCAGUCUCACGCUGAACUCAACGGCGACUGAACGACAGCACUUGGACGGAGGAGGGUGAAAAACUGUGUACACACCAACAAACGAAACAUCAACGCGCAUCAAAGCGCCGCGCUGCAAAGUAAUGUCGU
Molecule: long non-coding RNA, 494 nt
Organism: Acanthopagrus latus (yellowfin seabream)
Lineage: Eukaryota; Metazoa; Chordata; Actinopteri; Spariformes; Sparidae
Exons: 3
Source: RefSeq, a predicted model, not a curated record